GAAUGCGCCCUUAGAGUUUGAUCCUGGCUCAGGAUGAACGCUGGCGGCAGGCCUAACACAUGCAAGUCGAACGGUAACAGGAAGAAGCUUGCUUCUUUGCUGACGAGUGGCGGACGGGUGAGUAAUGUCUGGGAAACUGCCUGAUGGAGGGGGAUAACUACUGGAAACGGUAGCUAAUACCGCAUAACGUCGCAAGACCAAAGAGGGGGACCUUCGGGCCUCUUGCCAUCGGAUGUGCCCAGAUGGGAUUAGCUUGUUGGUGGGGUAACGGCUCACCAAGGCGACGAUCCCUAGCUGGUCUGAGAGGAUGACCAGCCACACUGGAACUGAGACACGGUCCAGACUCCUACGGGAGGCAGCAGUGGGGAAUAUUGCACAAUGGAGGAAACUCUGAUGCAGCAACGCCGCGUGAGCGAUGAAGGUCUUCGGAUCGUAAAGCUCUGUCUUUAGGGAUGAUAAUGACAGUACCUAAGGAGGAAGCCACGGCUAACUACGUGCCAGCAGCCGCGGUAAUACGUAGGUGGCGAGCGUUAUCCGGAUUUAUUGGGCGUAAAGGGAGCGUAGGCGGAUACUUAAGUGGGAUGUGAAAUACUUGGGCUCAACCCGAGUACUGCAUUCCAAACUGAGUAUCUAGAGUGCAGGAGAGGAGAGUGGAAUUCCUAGUGUAGCGGUGAAAUGCGUAGAGAUUAGGAAGAACACCAGUGGCGAAGGCGACUCUCUGGACUGUAACUGACGCUGAGGCUCGAAAGCGUGGGGAGCGAACAGGAUUAGAUACCCUGGUAGUCCACGCCGUAAACGAUGAAUACUAGGUGUAGGGGUUUCGAUACCUCUGUGCCGCCGCUAACGCAUUAAGUAUUCCGCCUGGGGAGUACGGUCGCAAGAUUAAAACUCAAAGGAAUUGACGGGGACCCGCACAAGCAGCGGAGCAUGUGGUUUAAUUCGAAGCAACGCGAAGAACCUUACCUACACUUGACAUCCCUUGCAUUACCCUUAAUCGGGGAAAUCUCUUCGGAGACAAGGUGACAGGUGGUGCAUGGUUGUCGUCAGCUCGUGUCGUGAGAUGUUGGGUUAAGUCCCGCAACGAGCGCAACCCCUAUUGUUAGUUGCUACCAUUAAGUUGAGCACUCUAGCGAGACUGCCUGGGUUAACCAGGAGAAAGGUGGGGACGACGUCAAAUCAUCAUGCCCCUUAUGUGUAGGGCUACACACGUGCUACAAUGGCAGGUACAGAGAGACGCAAGACCGUGAGGUGGAGCAAAUCCCAAAAAACCUGUCCCAGUUCGGAUUGAAGGCUGAAACUCGCCUUCAUGAAGCCGGAGUUGCUAGUAAUCGCGAAUCAGAAUGUCGCGGUGAAUACGUUCCCGGGUCUUGCACACACCGCCCGUCA
This 1386-nucleotide ribosomal RNA is filed under the name uncultured bacterium. Its description in RNAcentral is "bacterial SSU rRNA". It matches the Rfam family "Bacterial small subunit ribosomal RNA". The record is from RNAcentral.